RNAcentral lists this long non-coding RNA (557 nucleotides) under Homo sapiens (human). RNAcentral's name for it is "HSALNT0278455". The record is from RNAcentral. Lineage: Eukaryota; Metazoa; Chordata; Mammalia; Primates; Hominidae.
AAGAGGGAGCCGUCUCCAUGAGAGGACCUGGCUGAUGACUUGUGCACGGUGCCAUGUGUCAACCCUUCCUGAGACCCUGAGAAGGAGCCCCUGGCGCUGUUCUGGAAUCUCCCUGUGGCUCUAAUGAUUAGAUGCAGUUUUCCCCCUGGUUUAGCAUUUCCCUGAUGCUUUGGAUUUUGUAUGGCAGCAAUGCUGGUCAACAUGCCUGCGGAGCUAAUACCUGGGGCUUCCAGUGCUCCCCGGACUGCCUGGGCUCAAAUCCCACAGCCAUCACUCACUGGCUGGGAGACCUGGACCAACUGCGUCCACUCCCUGGGCCUGUGGCCCUCAUCUGUGGACUGGGGGUACUGUGAAGAUUAAGUGUUAAGACACUAAAGAACCCUGGGAGGGUGGGACAUGCGUAAGCACUGGCUCAGCCUCCCACUGUCGUGCCGCUUCUGCCAGACCAGUGCGCCUGCAGAUCUAACCCAGAGGCAUCAGGAGCAGAUGCAGGGGCCACAGGGCAGCAGCCACGAUGAACCACCAUCUCUUUCCACCGCUUCGUGCCUCGGGCCCCU